Molecule: non-coding RNA, 418 nt
Organism: Nitrobacter hamburgensis X14
Lineage: Bacteria; Pseudomonadati; Pseudomonadota; Alphaproteobacteria; Hyphomicrobiales; Nitrobacteraceae
Rfam family: Bacterial RNase P class A
About the family: Ribonuclease P (RNase P) is a ubiquitous endoribonuclease, found in archaea, bacteria and eukarya as well as chloroplasts and mitochondria. Its best characterised activity is the generation of mature 5'-ends of tRNAs by cleaving the 5'-leader elements of precursor-tRNAs.
Source: Rfam
UCAGUCGGCCGGACGGCCGCUCCCGCUGCGGCCGAAAGGCUGCGGGAGAGGAAAGUCCGGGCUCCAUCGACAUACGGUGCCGGAUAACGUCCGGCGGGGGCGACCCCAGGGACAGUGCCACAGAGAACGAACCGCCUCCUCCCCGGAGCAGGUAAGGGUGAAAAGGUGCGGUAAGAGCGCACCGCGUCUCCGGCAACGGAGACGGCAUGGCAAACCACACCGGGAGCAAAACCGAAUAGGGGCGGCAUCGCGAGAGGUUCGCCUUCGGCGAUAACAUCGCAGGGCCAUGUCGGGCCCGCUGUCCGGGUAGGUUGCAUGAGGCAACGUGCAAACGUUGCCCCAGAGGAAUGGCCGUCACGUAUCGCGUGCGCAAGCGCGCGGUGCCCUACAGAACCCGGCUUACAGGCCGGCUGAUAUG